RNAcentral lists this ribosomal RNA (226 nucleotides) under uncultured bacterium. RNAcentral describes it as "partial 16S ribosomal RNA". It matches the Rfam family "Bacterial small subunit ribosomal RNA", at positions 524 to 748 of the family's 1533-position model. The record is from RNAcentral.
CACGUAGGGGGCGAGCGUUGUCCGGAUUCAUUGGGCGUAAAGAGCUCGUAGGCGGCUCAGUAAGUCGGGUGUGAAACCCUCAGGCUCAACCUGGGGACGCCACUCGAUACUGCUGUGGCUAGAGUCCAGUAGAGGAGUGUGGAAUUCCCGGUGUAGCGGUGAAAUGCGCAGAUAUCGGGAGGAACACCAACGGCGAAGGCAGCACUCUGGGCUGGAACUGACGCUG